UCCGGUUUGUCACCGGCAGUCUCCUUAGAGUUCCCAGCAUGACCUGAUGGCAACUAAGGACAAGGGUUGCGCUCGUUACGGGACUUAACCCAACAUCUCACGACACGAGCUGACGACAGCCAUGCAGCACCUGUCACCUGGUUCCCGAAGGCACACCCGUAUCUCUACAGGCUUCCAGGGAUGUCAAGAGUAGGUAAGGUGGGGAUGACGUCGGAGAGUACGUCC
This 225-nucleotide unclassified non-coding RNA is filed under the name uncultured Cellvibrionales bacterium. Its description in RNAcentral is "contains 16S-23S intergenic spacer region". Lineage: Bacteria; Pseudomonadati; Pseudomonadota; Gammaproteobacteria; Cellvibrionales. The record is from RNAcentral.